UAGGGAAUCUUCGGCAAUGGGGGGAACCCUGACCGAGCAACGCCGCGUGAGUGAAGAAGGUUUUCGGAUCGUAAAGCUCUGUUGUUAAGGAAGAACGAGUGUGAGAAUGGAAAGUUCAUACUGUGACGGUACUUAACCAGAAAGGGACGGCUAACUACGUGCCAGCAGCCGCGGUAAUACGUAGGUCCCGAGCGUUGUCCGGAUUUAUUGGGCGUAAAGCGAGCGCAGGCGGUUAGAUAAGUCUGAAGUUAAAGGCAGUGGCUCAACCAUUGUAGGCUUUGGAAACUGUUUAACUUGAGUGCAGAAGGGGAGAAUGGAAUUCCAUGUGUAGCGGUGAAAUGCGUAGAUAUAUGGAGGAACACCGGUGGCGAAAGCGGCUCUCUGGUCUGUAACUGACGCUGAGGCUCGAAAGCGUGGGGAGCGAACAGG
RNAcentral lists this ribosomal RNA (429 nucleotides) under Bacteroidota bacterium. Its description in RNAcentral is "Bacteroidetes bacterium partial 16S ribosomal RNA". It matches the Rfam family "Bacterial small subunit ribosomal RNA", at positions 355 to 776 of the family's 1533-position model. The record is from RNAcentral. Lineage: Bacteria; Pseudomonadati; Bacteroidota.